UGAGCAAUCUGCCCUUCUCUUCGGAAUAAGCGUUGGACACGACGUCUAAUGCCGAAUACGACCUCCUUUCGCAUGAUCGGAGGUGGAAAGCUCCGGCGGAGAAGGAUGAGCUCGCGGCCUAUCAGCUAGUUGCUGUGGGUAAUGGCCCACCAAGGCGACGACGGGUAGCCGGCCUGAGAGGGUGUCCGGCCACACUGGGACUGAGACACGGCCCAGACUCCGUAGGGAGG
RNAcentral lists this ribosomal RNA (230 nucleotides) under uncultured bacterium. RNAcentral's name for it is "partial 16S ribosomal RNA". It matches the Rfam family "Bacterial small subunit ribosomal RNA", at positions 118 to 348 of the family's 1533-position model. The record is from RNAcentral.